RNAcentral lists this ribosomal RNA (702 nucleotides) under Triticum aestivum (bread wheat). RNAcentral describes it as "partial small subunit ribosomal RNA". The record is from RNAcentral. Lineage: Eukaryota; Viridiplantae; Streptophyta; Magnoliopsida; Poales; Poaceae.
AUGGCCCGUGUUUGUAUGGAUGUACAACCUCCCCCCUGGUUGUGCAUGAAGUCGAAGUACAUUCACAUGAGCAUGCCGAUUCAAGGGCCGAAACAACCAGGAAAUAAUAUUAAUCUGUAUCUGGGGCUACUUCAAGAGGUGUUAGACAUGUUAUGGAAAACACCGGCCAAGACAUGGGACACCAGCAAAGGCGAGUAUUUCUACAUGAGAGCCACGCUGAUCACGAUGGUGCACGACUAUCUCGGUUACGGAUAUGUCGCAGGCCAGGUGUGCCAUGGAUAUUGCGGAUACACGCGGUGCAUGGAUGAUACGACGUCUCAGCAGCUAACGUCAAGGAAAGAUGGCGGGUCUGGGAAAAUCGUGUACAAGGGGCAUCGAAGAUGGCUCGAUCAAGACAACCCGUGGAGAAACCGUGGAGAUCUAUUCGAUGGUCACGCUGAGCAUCAAGGACCUCCACGUAAGCGGAGCAGCGCCGAAAUCGAUGGGCUGUUCAAAAACUGGGAACAGUGCCCCAUGUCGGGAAAGACGAUGAAAAAGGCGCCGGAGCCGCUGCUGAAGGUAUGGAAGACGAGGUCUGUAUUCUGGGACUUGGAGUACUGGCACAAACUCGACACACCUCAUUGCCUUGAUCAAAUGCAUAUAUGUAAGAAUGUCCUUGAGAGCUUGCUCGCGACACUGAUGAACAUGCCGGAUAAGAACAAG